RNAcentral lists this ribosomal RNA (508 nucleotides) under uncultured bacterium. RNAcentral describes it as "partial 16S ribosomal RNA". It matches the Rfam family "Bacterial small subunit ribosomal RNA", at positions 28 to 507 of the family's 1533-position model. The record is from RNAcentral.
GACGAACGCUGGCGGCGUGCCUAAUACAUGCAAGUCGAACGCUUCUUUCCUCCCGAGUGCUUGCACUCAAUUGGAAAGAGGAGUGGCGGACGGGUGAGUAACACGUGGGUAACCUACCCAUCAGAGGGGGAUAACACUUGGAAACAGGUGCUAAUACCGCAUAACAGUUUAUGCCGCAUGGCAUAAGAGUGAAAGGCGCUUUCGGGUGUCGCUGAUGGAUGGACCCGCGGUGCAUUAGCUAGUUGGUGAGGUAACGGCUCACCAAGGCCACGAUGCAUAGCCGACCUGAGAGGGUGAUCGGCCACACUGGGACUGAGACACGGACCAGACUCCUACGGGAGGCAGCAGUAGGGAAUCUUCGGCAAUGGACGAAAGUCUGACCGAGCAACGCCGCGUGAGUGAAGAAGGUUUUCGGAUCGUAAAACUCUGUUGUUAGAGAAGAACAAGGACGUUAGUAACUGAACGUCCCCUGACGGUAUCUAACCAGAAAGCCACGGCUAACUACGUG